RNAcentral lists this ribosomal RNA (509 nucleotides) under uncultured bacterium. Its description in RNAcentral is "partial 16S ribosomal RNA". It matches the Rfam family "Bacterial small subunit ribosomal RNA", at positions 29 to 507 of the family's 1533-position model. The record is from RNAcentral.
ACGAACGCUGGCGGCGUGCUUAACACAUGCAAGUCGAACGAAGAGCGAUGGAAGCUUGCUUCUAUCAAUCUUAGUGGCGAACGGGUGAGUAACGCGUAAUCAACCUGCCCUUCAGAGGGGGACAACAGUUGGAAACGACUGCUAAUACCGCAUACGAUCUAACCUCGGCAUCGAGGAUAGAUGAAAGGUGGCCUCUACAUGUAAGCUAUCACUGAAGGAGGGGAUUGCGUCUGAUUAGCUAGUGGGAGGGGUAACGGCCCACCAAGGCGAUGAUCAGUAGCCGGUCCGAGAGGAUGAACGGCCACAUUGGGACUGAGACACGGCCCAGACUCCUACGGGAGGCAGCAGUGGGGAAUCUUCCGCAAUGGACGAAAGUCUGACGGAGCAACGCCGCGUGAGUGAUGACGGCCUUCGGGUUGUAAAGCUCUGUUAAUCGGGACGAAAGGCCUUCUUGCGAAUAGUGAGAAGGAUUGACGGUACCGGAAUAGAAAGCCACGGCUAACUACGUG